Triticum dicoccoides is the source of this 262-nucleotide long non-coding RNA. RefSeq lists it as uncharacterized. The record is from RefSeq and is a predicted model, not a curated record. The transcript is spliced from 3 exons. Lineage: Eukaryota; Viridiplantae; Streptophyta; Magnoliopsida; Poales; Poaceae.
GGCUCUUCUACACACAUCCGUAGCUAUGGAAAGAAAGCUUGUAGUGGAGUGGCUUCCUUUGUAUGAUCUUGGAAGAUGAUGACCUCUGAAGCCCAUUAGAAAGCAUGGCAACGGCUAAAGGUUAGCGCAUUUCGAGAAGCCAACAGAUCGCCGCCUACUUCCUUAGGCUGACAAUCACCUGCAGGAUAAAGUGCGAUGUUUUGCCCGAGGGGUUGGAGCAGGACCGCAGGAUGAGACAAGAUCAAGGACUGGGCCAACGCGG